This is a small nuclear RNA of Otolemur garnettii (small-eared galago), 108 nucleotides long. Lineage: Eukaryota; Metazoa; Chordata; Mammalia; Primates; Galagidae. The record is from Ensembl.
GUGCUUGCUUCGGCAGCAUGUAUACUAAAAUUAGAACGAUACGGAGAAGAUUAGCCAUGACCGCUGCACAAGGAUGACAUGCAAGAUUGUGAAGCAUUCCAUAUUUAU